AUUGAACGCUGGCAGCAUGCCUUACACAUGCAAGUCGAACGGCAGCGGACCUUCGGGUGCCGGCGAGUGGCGAACGGGUGAGUAAUAUAUCGGAACGUACCUUUCAGUGGGGGAUAACGUAGCGAAAGUUACGCUAAUACCGCAUAUUCUGUGAGCAGGAAAGCAGGGGAUCGCAAGACCUUGCGCUGAUUGAGCGGCCGAUAUCAGAUUAGCUAGUUGGUGAGGUAAAGGCUCACCAAGGCGACGAUCUGUAGCGGGUCUGAGAGGAUGAUCCGCCACACUGGAACUGAGACACGGUCCAGACUCCUACGGGAGGCAGCAGUGGGGAAUUUUGGACAAUGGGCGCAAGCCUGAUCCAGCCAUGCCGCGUGAGUGAAGAAGGCCU
This 385-nucleotide ribosomal RNA is filed under the name uncultured bacterium. RNAcentral's name for it is "bacterial SSU rRNA". It matches the Rfam family "Bacterial small subunit ribosomal RNA", at positions 30 to 417 of the family's 1533-position model. The record is from RNAcentral.